Molecule: long non-coding RNA, 3324 nt
Organism: Wyeomyia smithii (pitcher-plant mosquito)
Lineage: Eukaryota; Metazoa; Arthropoda; Insecta; Diptera; Culicidae
Exons: 2
Source: RefSeq, a predicted model, not a curated record
ACCAAGGAAAAAAAGGAUUUUUUUGCGAUGAGUAUUGUUAUAACUGGAAGGUAUGCGUUGCUCGAAAAUAUAUUCACCACCGGUUGCCACUUCGUUACUGAUCAGGAUCGAUUGGAGUUGUAAAUCGAAUUUAGUGAAUCCUGCUUGGGAUUUAGCUUUUCGAUGUGCAUCUCCAAUAACCCCUGCAUGCUGAUCAGUACCGACGCCUGCCGGUCCAGAACGUAGAUCAAAGGAAGGAAGGAAAGGGGUGUUAGUUCGAUACUUGUUGUUACUAGAGGCCGGAUAUACUCCUGCACACUCCACAAGCACCACGGGUAUAGGAAUUUUGUGUUAGUUGUUUGUCGCGUUUUUUCUCUACAUACGAUAAAACUCUUGGCGGAGUACGACGGGAAUAACGAGCUUUGUACUAAUAGAGGAACUAACCGACCCUUCCAAUUUUGAACCCGACGUGCACGCACUUUCCCGAGGUUAGUGGUGCUAUCUUCGAUAUAUGAACUCACGAAAGCGCGCCAGGUGCCAACAUGUUUGAAACCUCAUCAUAUUUGCAGUGACGGGAUACAAGCGAAUCGUGGAGGUUAAGUAAUUUCGGUUACCUUACGUAUCGUACGACUCUACGCGUUUCUGCUCAUGAACACCUUAAUUUACCCAUUCACGAAUCAAUGAGUAGCUUUAUUUCGUAAGACGUUAAACUUUAUUCGGAAACUGUAAGCCGACCGCAAUUUUAGAGGAUACAAGAUCUACAACGCGUUUUUCUCUUGUAAUAUAAUUUGGAAUGAGCUAAGUAUCCUAAUGAAUUCAAAAACUGGCAAAUUUACAUGCAUCCAAAGCCCUUAAAAUUCAAAAACAGAAAAUUGCAUCCAACAAGAUUUAAACAUUAUUGAAUAAAAAAAAAUUCAAGUGUAUCAACAUUUGUCCAAAAGCUAGGAAAAUCAUAAAAAUAAUAGGGUUAAAUAUGGUUAAAUGACCGUAACCGAUCAGAACUCUUCAUGACAGACGAAGCACUUAGAUAUUUGUCGCGUGUGAAUGAUAGAUGAUCAAACUCUAUUGUAAAACUAUCAAUUCGAUCUUGUGAAAGUUAGCGUGUUCAAAGAUUUAUAGUAGCAUAUGAAUAUAGUAAAACCUACGACACGCUGAACCGCAUCCGAGCCAAUCUCCGCUUUUCAACCACAUCAAGAAGUUCAAUUUACUACCCCAUGAAAACCAAAAAAAUCUGUAUUAUUUCCAGAAAAUCUGCAAUCUGCAUGCAGAUAUCUGUAUGAAAAAUACGCAAGAAAUCUGUAUAAAAGCAGACAAAUCUAUAUAUGUGGCAUCACUGGUCACAACUGAAAUGAUCUGCUAUAAUUUAGAACCAAACUGCAUCGCCCGAAGGCAAACAAAGCCACCAAUAGCUGUCAAACGCAAGUGCGCGACGUCACCGUGCGAUGGUCUAUUUGCUGAACACACAUUCUCAUGUCAGCCUACUGCAACUUGCAAGUUGAUGCAACGUAAAAAAAUCAUGAACACAUGAACGCGCUACCCAACACACACAGCACCCAGUAAGAAUUGUCAGGCCGAUGUCGGACCAAUUCGCGUCCGAUUCUCCGAUAGAUCGGUCCUACAACGGGUCGACAUUUCGCUCAACAUCGGUCCAAUGUCGUGCUCAAAUGCAACAAAAAUGUCGGACCAGGGUUCAUUCGCUCCUAGGGGUUCAUUCGCCUUCGUGCGUCGCGGGCGAGAGGGAAGUUUAGUUGUGUUUGUUUUGAAGCAAGUCCGGUGCGGCUGGCAUGCGGACUUGGUCAAAACAAACACAACCAAACUUCCCCUGCCGCAAAGAGAUCACGAUGGCGGGGUGUGCGAUUCAAUCUUCAUUGUAUGCGACGCAGCAACGGCGGUGUGCAGGUUGCUUUGUUUUGAUUAUUUUGAUAGCGCGGUUUUGGAUUAGAGCGCUUCAUUUAUUUUAGGAUGGUGCAUGAUUAAUUAUUUUUAUCCACUAUAUAAAAAUGGAUUUACGUAACGCAGAUUUCAUUGAUAUUAUUCCCGCCGUUACUGAGGUGCACAAUAAGCACCAUCAUUUUAAAUCGUUUUAAAUCAAGAAAUUAAGCGGUGACAUGUACGUUAUAUUGCAAUAAAAUAUUCGUAGAGUUCGAAGCAAUAUAUUGGUGAAACAUGUAGGGUUUCUUAAUAAUAAAAAUUGUGAUUUCAUUCACAUAACGUAAAACGUGGUGGCGGGGCUGUGCGAUGCAACAACGACGAUGUGCAGGUUGCUUUAUUUUGAAUAUUUUGAUAGCGCAGCAUUGGAUUAGAGCGCUUCAUUUAUCGGAUGGUGCAUGAUUAAUUAUUUUUAUCCACUAUAUAAAAAUGGAUUUACGUAACGCAGAUUUUAUUAUUAUUAUUCCCGCCGUUACUGAGGUGCACAAUAAGCACCAUCAUUUUAAAUCGUUUUAAAUCAAGAAAUUAAGCGGUGACAUGUACAUUUUAUUACAAGAAAAUAUUCGUAGAGUUUGAAGCAAUAUAUUUGUUAAACAGUUAGGGUUUUUUAAUACUUAAAAUUGUGAUAUCAUUCAAAUAACGUAAACGUGGCGGCGGGGCUGUGCAAUUUAUACCUAGUGGUGUGCGAUGUAGCAACGGCGAAGUGCAGGUUGCUUUAUUUUGAUUAUUUUGAUAGCGCAGUAUUGGAUUAGAGCGCUUCAUUUGUAGGAUGGUGCAUUAUUAAUCAUUUUUAUCCACUUUAUAAAAAUUGGAUUUACGUAACGCAGAUUUUAUUGAUAUUAUUCGCGCCGUUACUGAGGUGCACAAUAAGCACCAUCAUUUAAAAUUGUUUUGAAUCAAGAAAGUAAGCGGUGACAUGUACAUUUUAUUGCAAGAAAAUAUUCGUAGAGUUCGAAGCAAUAUAUUUGUAACAGUUAGGGUUUUUUAAUACUUAAAAUUGUGAUAUCAUUCAGAUAACGAAAAACGUGGCGGCGGGGCUGUGCGAUUAAGAUUUCAUUGUGUGCGCAACGGAAGGGUGCAAGAAUUUUGAUUAUUUUGAUAGCGCAGUAUUAGAUUAGAGCGCUUCAUUUAUAGGACGGAUCAUGAUUAAUAAUUUUUAUCUACUACAUUGAAUCCCUUAACGCAGAUCUUAUUAAUAUUAUUCUCACCGUCUCUGAGGUGCACAAUAACCACUAUCAUUUUAAAUCGUUCUAGAUCAAAAAAGUAAACGGUGACAUGUACGUUUUAAUGCAAGAAAAUAUUCGCAGAGGUCGAAGCAAUAUAUUUGAGAAACAGUUAGGGAUUUUUAAUAAUAAAAAUUGUGAUAUCAUUCACAUGACGAAAAGCAUAAAUAAAACUUAACUUUUUUUCGUUCAA